This 447-nucleotide ribosomal RNA is filed under the name uncultured bacterium. Its description in RNAcentral is "partial 16S ribosomal RNA". It matches the Rfam family "Bacterial small subunit ribosomal RNA", at positions 29 to 523 of the family's 1533-position model. The record is from RNAcentral.
AACGAACGCUGGCGGCAUGCCUAACACAUGCAAGUCGAACGCUCCGCAAGGGGAGUGGCGCACGGGUGAGUAACACGUGGGAACCUGCCUAUUGGUUCGGAACAACGUUUGGAAACGAACGCUAAUACCGGAUAUCCCCCGAGGGGGAAAGAUUUAUCGCCAAUAGAGGGGCCCGCGUCCGAUGAGGUAGUUGGUGGGGUAAAGGCCUACCAAGCCGACGAUCGGUAGCUGGGCUGAGAGGAUGGUCCGCCACACUGGGACUCAGACACGGCCGGGAGUCCUUAGUUAGGCAGCGGUGGGGAAUAUUGGAAAAUGGGCGGAAGCCUGAGUCAGCAAUGCCGCGUGAGUGAUGAACGCCUAAGGCUUCUAAAGCUCUUCCGCACGUGACGAUGAUGACGGUAACGUGAGAAGAAGCAUCGGCUAACCUCGUGCCAGCCGCCGCUGUAA